Molecule: ribosomal RNA, 326 nt
Filed under: uncultured Bacillus sp.
Lineage: Bacteria; Bacillati; Bacillota; Bacilli; Caryophanales; Bacillaceae
Description: bacterial SSU rRNA
Rfam family: Bacterial small subunit ribosomal RNA
Source: RNAcentral
UCAGCUCGUGUCGUGAGAUGUGGUUAAGUCCCGCAACGAGCGCAACCCCUACGUUUAGUUGCUAACGCGUGAAGGCGAGCACUCUAGACGAACUGCCGUUGACAAAACGGAGGAAGGUGGGGAUGACGUCAAAUCAUCAUGCCCCUUAUGUUCUGGGCUACACACGUGCUACAAUGGCCGGUACAGACGGACGCAAAGCCGCGAGGUGGAGCAAAUCCUAUAAAGCCGGUCUCAGUUCGGAUUGCAGGCUGCAAUUCGCCUGCAUGAAGUCGGAAUCGCUAGUAAUCGCAGGUCAGCAUACUGCGGUGAAUACGUUCCCGGGCCUU